RNAcentral lists this ribosomal RNA (468 nucleotides) under uncultured bacterium. Its description in RNAcentral is "partial 16S ribosomal RNA". It matches the Rfam family "Bacterial small subunit ribosomal RNA", at positions 28 to 507 of the family's 1533-position model. The record is from RNAcentral.
GACGAACGCUGGCGGCGUGCUUAACACAUGCAAGUCGAACGGAAAGGCCCUGCUUUUGUGGGGUGCUCGAGUGGCGAACGGGUGAGUAACACGUGAGUAACCUGCCCUUGACUUUGGGAUAACUUCAGGAAACUGGGGCUAAUACCGGAUAGGAGCUCCUGCUGCAUGGUGGGGGUUGGAAAGUUUCGGCGGUUGGGGAUGGACUCGCGGCUUAUCAGCUUGUUGGUGGGGUAGUGGCUUACCAAGGCUUUGACGGGUAGCCGGCCUGAGAGGGUGACCGGCCACAUUGGGACUGAGAUACGGCCCAGACUGCUAGAGGAGGCAGCAGUGGGGAAUAUUGCACAAUGGGCGGAAGCCUGAUGCAGCAACGCCGCGUGCGGGAUGACGGCCUUCGGGUUGUAAACCGCUUUCGCCUGUGACGAAGCGUGAGUGACGGUAAUGGGUAAAGAAGCACCGGCUAACUACGUG